Molecule: ribosomal RNA, 274 nt
Filed under: uncultured bacterium
Lineage: Bacteria
Description: partial 16S ribosomal RNA
Rfam family: Bacterial small subunit ribosomal RNA
Source: RNAcentral
AUACGGAGAGUGCGAGCGUUAAUCGGAAUUACUGGGCGUAAAGGGUGCGUAGGCGGCUUGAUAAGUCGGAUGUGAAAGCCCCGGGCUUAACCUGGGAAUUGCAUUCGAUACUGUCAGGCUAGAGUAUGUCAGAGGUUGGCGGAAUUCCUGGUGUAGCGGUGAAAUGCGUAGAUAUCAGGAGGAACACCAGUGGCGAAGGCGGCUAACUGGGGCAAUACUGACGCUGAGGCACGAAAGCGUGGGGAGCAAACAGGAUUAGAUACCCUAGUAGUCC